UACGAAGGGGGCGAGCGUUGUUCGGAAUCACUGGGCGUAAAGCGUGCGUAGGCUGUUCCGCAAGUUGGAAGUGAAAGCCCAGGGCUCAACCCUGGAAUUGCUUUCAAAACUGCGGAACUAGAAUUCGGGAGAGGAUAGCGGAAUUUCCAGUGUAGUAGUGAAAUACGUAGAUAUUGGAAGGAACACCAGUGGCGUAAGCGGCUAUCUGGACCGACAUUGACGCUGAGGCACGAAAGCGUGGGGAUCAAACAGG
Molecule: ribosomal RNA, 253 nt
Filed under: uncultured bacterium
Lineage: Bacteria
Description: partial 16S ribosomal RNA
Rfam family: Bacterial small subunit ribosomal RNA
Source: RNAcentral